RNAcentral lists this ribosomal RNA (398 nucleotides) under uncultured bacterium. RNAcentral's name for it is "partial 16S ribosomal RNA". It matches the Rfam family "Bacterial small subunit ribosomal RNA", at positions 523 to 918 of the family's 1533-position model. The record is from RNAcentral.
AUACGUAGGGUGCGAGCGUUGUCCGGAAUUACUGGGCGUAAAGAGCUCGUAGGUGGUUUGUCGCGUCGUCUGUGAAAUUCCGGGGCUUAACUCCGGGCGUGCAGGCGAUACGGGCAUAACUUGAGUACUGUAGGGGAGACUGGAAUUCCUGGUGUAGGGGUGAAAUGCGCAGAUAUCAGGAGGAACACCGGUGGUGAAGGCGGGUCUCUGGGCAGUAACUGACGCUGAGGAGCGAAAGCAUGGGUAGCGAACAGGAUUAGAUACCCUGGUAGUCCAUGCCGUAAACGGUGGGCGCUAGGUGUAGGGGUCUUCCACGACUUCUGUGCCGUAGCUAACGCAUUAAGCGCCCCGCCUGGGGAGUACGGCCGCAAGGCUAAAACUCAAAUGAAUUGACGGGG